UUAUAAUAAUGUUGAUCAAAUGUCUGACCUGAAAAGAGCAUGUAGACAAACUUAAUACUGAAGAA
Nannospalax galili (Upper Galilee mountains blind mole rat) is the source of this 65-nucleotide small nucleolar RNA. NCBI's taxonomy places the organism in Eukaryota, Metazoa, Chordata, Mammalia, Rodentia, Spalacidae. The record is from Ensembl.